Molecule: ribosomal RNA, 415 nt
Filed under: uncultured Stenotrophomonas sp.
Lineage: Bacteria; Pseudomonadati; Pseudomonadota; Gammaproteobacteria; Lysobacterales; Lysobacteraceae
Description: bacterial SSU rRNA
Rfam family: Bacterial small subunit ribosomal RNA
Source: RNAcentral
UGAGGAAUACAUCGGAAUCUACUUUUUCGUGGGGGAUAACGUAUGGAAACUUACGCUAAUACCGCAUACGACCUACGGGUGAAAGCAGGGGACCUUCGGGCCUUGCGCGAUUGAAUGAGCCGAUGUCGGAUUAGCUAGUUGGCGGGGUAAAGGCCCACCAAGGCGACGAUCCGUAGCUGGUCUGAGAGGAUGAUCAGCCACACUGGAACUGACACACGGUCCAGACUCCUACGGGAGGCAGCAUUGGGGAAUAUUGGACAAUGGGCGCAAGCCUGAUCCAGCCAUACCGCGUGGGUGAAGAAGGCCUUCAGGUUGUAAAGCCCUUUUGUUGGGAAAGAAAUCCAGCCGGCUAAUACCUGGUUGGGAUGACGGUACCCAAAGAAUAAGCACCGGCUAACUUCGUGCCAGCAGCCGC